GACCUUGACUAAUAUAUAAGAGAU
Molecule: small nuclear RNA, 24 nt
Filed under: Arabidopsis thaliana (thale cress)
Lineage: Eukaryota; Viridiplantae; Streptophyta; Magnoliopsida; Brassicales; Brassicaceae
Description: snRNA_04065
Source: RNAcentral